GGAAAAAUCGCCUAAUGGUAUGGCAAUAGUUUGCUAAACUACGAAUGUAAAAACAUUCUUGGGGGUUCGAAUCCCCUUUUUUCCG
This 85-nucleotide transfer RNA is filed under the name Coemansia javaensis. It matches the Rfam family "tRNA". From Rfam's summary of the family: Transfer RNA (tRNA) molecules are approximately 80 nucleotides in length. The record is from Rfam by way of RNAcentral. Lineage: Eukaryota; Fungi; Kickxellomycota; Kickxellomycetes; Kickxellales; Kickxellaceae.